Molecule: ribosomal RNA, 862 nt
Filed under: uncultured bacterium
Lineage: Bacteria
Description: bacterial SSU rRNA
Rfam family: Bacterial small subunit ribosomal RNA
Source: RNAcentral
GGCUCAGGAUGAACGCUAGCGGCAGGCUUAAUACAUGCAAGUCGUGGGGCAGCAUGGUGUAGCAAUACACUGAUGGCGACCGGCAAACGGGUGCGGAACACGUACAGAACCUUCCUUUAAGUGGUGAAUAGCCCAGAGAAAUUUGGAUUAAUACACCGUAACAUAUAGAAUCGGCAUCGGUUUUAUAUUAUAGCUCCGGCGCUUGAAGAUGGCUGUGCGGCUGAUUAGGUAGUUGGCGGGGUAACGGCCCACCAAGCCUGCGAUCAGUAACUGGUGUGAGAGCACGACCAGUCACACGGGCACUGAGACACGGGCCCGACUCCUACGGGAGGCAGCAGUAAGGAAUAUUGGUCAAUGGACGCAAGUCUGAACCAGCCAUGCCGCGUGAAGGAUGAAGGUCCUCUGGAUUGUAAACUUCUUUUAUCUGGGACGAAAAAAGGGCUUUCUAGCUCGACUGACGGUACCAGAGGAAUAAGCACCGGCUAACUCCGUGCCAGCAGCCGCGGUAAUACGGAGGGUGCAAGCGUUAUCCGGAUUCACUGGGUUUAAAGGGAGCGUAGGCGGGCAGGUAAGUCAGUGGUGAAAUCUCCGGGCUUAACCCGGAAACUGCCAUUGAUACUAUCUGUCUUGAAUAUCCUGGAGGUAAGCGGAAUAUGUCAUGUAGCGGUGAAAUGCUUAGAUAUGACAUAGAACACCCAUUGCGAAGGCAGCUUACUACGGGAUGAUUGACGCUGAGGCUCGAAAGCGUGGGGAUCAAACAGGAUUAGAUACCCUGGUAGUCCACGCCCUAAACGAUGGAUACUCGACAUCAGCGAUACACUGUUGGUGUCUGAGCGAAAGCAUUAAGUAUCCCACCUGGGAA